AGCGAACGCUGGCGGCAGGCUUAACACAUGCAAGUCGAGCGGGCAUCCUUGUGGUGUCAGCGGCAGACGGGUGAGUAACGCGUGGGAACGUGCCCUUCGGUUCGGAAUAACUCAGGGAAACUUGAGCUAAUACCGGAUACGUGCGAGAGCAGAAAGGUUUAUCUGCCGAAGGAUCGGCCCGCGUCUGAUUAGCUAGUUGGUGAGGUUACGGCUCACCAAGGCGACGAUCAGUAGCUGGUCUGAGAGGAUGAUCAGCCACACUGGGACUGAGACACGGCCCAGACUCCUACGGGAGGCAGCAGUGGGGAAUAUUGACAAUGGGGGCAACCCUGAUCCAGCCAUGCCGCGUGAGUGAUGACGGCCUUAGGGUUGUAAAGCUCUUUUCUCCGGGACGAUAAUGACGGUACCGGAGGAAUAAGCCCCGGCUAACUUCGUG
RNAcentral lists this ribosomal RNA (436 nucleotides) under uncultured bacterium. RNAcentral describes it as "partial 16S ribosomal RNA". It matches the Rfam family "Bacterial small subunit ribosomal RNA", at positions 29 to 507 of the family's 1533-position model. The record is from RNAcentral.